CAGGAUGGGCUGAUUUGGAGAAGCAAGCCGCCUAACAGAAGCUAAGCGCAUGUGCAUUAGAGAAGAGAAAUUUAGUCACUGGUAUAGGACAUCAAUCUCCAGCUGUUCUCUUAAUGCAGCAGAAGCAUGGAUAAGAACACAGCUCCUUGGAAAGCACCUUAGGAGUUGUUGGUCAGGGAGGUCCUAGAGGCUCCUGAAGCAUCACAGCCCACUUUCAUUUCUUUUGGGCAUCCACUAACACAAGGUGGUAAGACGUACUGCUGUAGAUACCAUCUACUUUGGAUGCAUGAUACAGAAAAGUCAAGCUGAAGUUUCCUCUUUUCUGGCUAUCAUUCAUAGUACCAGAAGGUUCUAUGCAGGCUACUGGAAGAGCAGCGUCAUUACCGAAUCUUACUGUGUGCUAUAUUACAGCCCUAUCAGGCAAGAUACUUACUGGUUCAGUAGUAUCAAGACUAUCUGGAGGAUAGCCAAGUGUUUUUAAAUUGUAUUUCAGGCCUGUUCCACAGGAGAGACUAUAUACUUGGCACCAUGAACCUGCUUAAAAGUCUAUGGCUGGGGAGUUUACAGACUAGUGCUGCUCUCAGCCUGGGUUAAGGGAGCGUCUUCAUGCAGUGGGCAACAGUGAAUGCAGGGACUUCACAGUGCUGAGAAGAAGUGACUGUUGAAUGCUUAGC
Long non-coding RNA from Alexandromys fortis (reed vole), 674 nucleotides. RefSeq lists it as uncharacterized. The record is from RefSeq and is a predicted model, not a curated record. Lineage: Eukaryota; Metazoa; Chordata; Mammalia; Rodentia; Cricetidae. The transcript has 4 exons.